AACCAGUGAUUUUCCCGCCAAAA
This 23-nucleotide non-coding RNA is filed under the name Arabidopsis thaliana (thale cress). The record is from RNAcentral. Lineage: Eukaryota; Viridiplantae; Streptophyta; Magnoliopsida; Brassicales; Brassicaceae.